AACGAACGCUGGCGGCAUGCCUAACACAUGCAAGUCGAACGAGACCUUCGGGUCUAGUGGCGCACGGGUGCGUAACGCGUGGGAACCUGCCCUUAGGUUCGGAAUAACUCCCCGAAAGGGGUGCUAAUACCGGAUAAUGUCUUCGGACCAAAGAUUUAUCGCCUUUGGAUGGGCCCGCGUUGGAUUAGCUAGUUGGUAGGGUAAAAGCCUACCAAGGCGACGAUCCAUAGCUGGUCUGAGAGGAUGAUCAGCCACACUGGGACUGAGACACGGCCCAGACUCCUACGGGAGGCAGCAGUGGGGAAUAUUGGACAAUGGGCGAAAGCCUGAUCCAGCAAUGCCGCGUGAGGGAUGAAGGCCUGAGGGUUGUAAAGCUCUUUUACCCGGGAUGAUAAUGACAGCACCGGGAGAAGAAGCUCCGGCUACCUCCG
RNAcentral lists this ribosomal RNA (431 nucleotides) under uncultured bacterium. Its description in RNAcentral is "partial 16S ribosomal RNA". It matches the Rfam family "Bacterial small subunit ribosomal RNA", at positions 29 to 505 of the family's 1533-position model. The record is from RNAcentral.